GUCUGGUUAAUUCCGAUAACGAACGAGACUCUAGCCUAUUAAAUAGUUCGCCGGUCCUUCGAUGUGCCGGUGUAACUUCUUAGAGGGACGAGUGGCUUUUAGCCACACGAGAUUGAGCAAUAACAGGUCUGUGAUGCCCUUAGAUGUCCGGGGCCGCACGCGCGCUACACUGAAGGAAUCAGCGUGGAUACCCCCCUGACCCGAAAGGGUUGGGAAACCCGUUGAAUCUCCUUCGUGCUAGGGAUUGGGGCUUGUAAUUCUUCCCCAUGAACGAGGAAUUCCCAGUAAGCGCGAGUCAUAAGCUCGCGUUGAUUACGUCCCUGCCCUUUGUA
Molecule: ribosomal RNA, 332 nt
Filed under: Clione limacina
Lineage: Eukaryota; Metazoa; Mollusca; Gastropoda; Pteropoda; Clionidae
Description: SSU rRNA
Rfam family: Eukaryotic small subunit ribosomal RNA
Source: RNAcentral